This 89-nucleotide ribosomal RNA is filed under the name uncultured bacterium. RNAcentral's name for it is "partial 16S ribosomal RNA". The record is from RNAcentral.
AGAGUUUGAUCCUGGCUCAGGAUGAACGCUAGCGACAGGCCUAACACAUGCAAGUCGAGGGGUAACAGGGGCUUCGGCCCGCUGACGAC